RNAcentral lists this ribosomal RNA (253 nucleotides) under uncultured bacterium. RNAcentral's name for it is "partial 16S ribosomal RNA". It matches the Rfam family "Bacterial small subunit ribosomal RNA", at positions 524 to 776 of the family's 1533-position model. The record is from RNAcentral.
UACGUAGGGUGCAAGCGUUAAUCGGAAUUACUGGGCGUAAAGCGUGCGCAGGCGGUUCGACAAGACAGAUGUGAAAUCCCCGGGCUUAACCUGGGAACUGCAUUUGUGACUGGCGGGCUAGAGUAUGGCAGAGGGGGGUAGAAUUCCACGUGUAGCAGUGAAAUGCGUAGAGAUGUGGAGGAAUACCGAUGGCGAAGGCAGCCCCCUGGGCCAAUACUGACGCUCAUGCACGAAAGCGUGGGGAGCAAACAGG